CGGAGGGGGGGCCGCGUGCGAGGGCGGGCGAGCGUUCCCGGGCCGGUGGCCGGGCCAGAUUAGGGGCCCGGCGUGACUCGGCAUUCGGGAGCCGGGCCGCGGGCGCGUUGGUCCUGCGCCGCCGGCAGCAGCGGGCUCGUGCCCAGGGCAGCGCCGUCGCCGGAGCCACCGCGGGCGGCCGCCGCAGAGCUCGGGGCCGUGGGGGUUAUGGUGCCCCCGGGCUGACUGCUGGGACAGAGCGAGGCAGAGGCAGGGGCCGAGCGCGGAGCCAUGGAGAGGCCAGGCCAGGAGGCCUACGAGGACGUGAUGAGGAAAAACCUGGACCCCGAGGGCUACGAAGACCCCGGUGUGCACAGCUCGCGCAUCUCGCUGGGGGAGAUGAGCAGUGAGUGGCUUCGUUGGCUGGCAGAGGGGUGC
This 417-nucleotide long non-coding RNA is filed under the name Apteryx owenii (little spotted kiwi). RNAcentral describes it as "lncRNA (ENSAOWG00000014807.1)". Lineage: Eukaryota; Metazoa; Chordata; Aves; Apterygiformes; Apterygidae. The record is from RNAcentral.